This 3112-nucleotide ribosomal RNA is filed under the name Salmonella enterica subsp. enterica serovar Saintpaul. RNAcentral describes it as "bacterial LSU rRNA". It matches the Rfam family "Bacterial large subunit ribosomal RNA". Lineage: Bacteria; Pseudomonadati; Pseudomonadota; Gammaproteobacteria; Enterobacterales; Enterobacteriaceae. The record is from RNAcentral.
GGGUUGUGAGGUUAAGCGACUAAGCGUACACGGUGGAUGCCCUGGCAGUCAGAGGCGAUGAAGGGCGUGCUAAUCUGCGAUAAGCGCCGGUAAGGUGAUAUGAACCGUUAUAACCGGCGAUACCCGAAUGGGGAAACCCAGUGUGACUCGUCACACUAUCAUUAACUGAAUCCAUAGGUUAAUGAGGCGAACCGGGGGAACUGAAACAUCUAAGUACCCCGAGGAAAAGAAAUCAACCGAGAUUCCCCCAGUAGCGGCGAGCGAACGGGGAGGAGCCCAGAGCCUGAAUCAGCAUGUGUGUUAGUGGAAGCGUCUGGAAAGGCGCGCGAUACAGGGUGACAGCCCCGUACACAAAAGCGCAUGUGUUGUGAGCUCGAUGAGUAGGGCGGGACACGUGGUAUCCUGUCUGAAUAUGGGGGGACCAUCCUCCAAGGCUAAAUACUCCUGACUGACCGAUAGUGAACCAGUACCGUGAGGGAAAGGCGAAAAGAACCCCGGCGAGGGGAGUGAAAAAGAACCUGAAACCGUGUACGUACAAGCAGUGGGAGCCCCACCACUAAGCCAGUGGUGGAUUCCACAUACGCAUCCUUUGCUGAGGAUACGGUUAACGGAGCGAAAGCGACGUUCAACCUCAAAAGAAGCAGAGGGGGCUUAGUGGUGGGGUGACUGCGUACCUUUUGUAUAAUGGGUCAGCGACUUAUAUUCUGUAGCAAGGUUAACCGUAUAGGGGAGCCGGAGGGAAACCGAGUCUUAACCGGGCGUUAAGUUGCAGGGUAUAGACCCGAAACCCGGUGAUCUAGCCAUGGGCAGGUUGAAGGUUGGGUAACACUAACUGGAGGACCGAACCGACUAAUGUUGAAAAAUUAGCGGAUGACCUGUGGCUGGGGGUGAAAGGCCAAUCAAACCGGGAGAUAGCUGGUUCUCCCCGAAAGCUAUUUAGGUAGCGCCUCGUGAAUUCAUCUCCGGGGGUAGAGCACUGUUUCGGCUAGGGGGCCAUCCCGGCUUACCAACCCGAUGCAAACUGCGAAUACCGGAGAAUGUUAUCACGGGAGACACACGGCGGGUGCUAACGUCCGUCGUGAAGAGGGAAACAACCCAGACCGCCAGCUAAGGUCCCAAAGUCAUGGUUAAGUGGGAAACGAUGUGGGAAGGCCCAGACAGCCAGGAUGUUGGCUUAGAAGCAGCCAUCAUUUAAAGAAAGCGUAAUAGCUCACUGGUCGAGUCGGCCUGCGCGGAAGAUGUAACGGGGCUAAACCAUGCACCGAAGCUGCGGCAGCGAACGUAUCACCCAAGACAACUUUACGGAGUUGACGAUUGACGGAGCGAAGCGACGUCAAAGCGUUCAUUAAAGUCGAGUUGGCUUAGGGAUACGUUCGUUGGGUAGGGGAGCGUUCUGUAAGCCUGUGAAGGUGGCCUGUGAGGGUUGCUGGAGGUAUCAGAAGUGCGAAUGCUGACAUAAGUAACGAUAAAGCGGGUGAAAAGCCCGCUCGCCGGAAGACCAAGGGUUCCUGUCCAACGUUAAUCGGGGCAGGGUGAGUCGACCCCUAAGGCGAGGCCGAAAGGCGUAGUCGAUGGGAAACGGGUUAAUAUUCCCGUACUUGGUGUUACUGCGAAGGGGGGACGGAGAAGGCUAUGUUGGCCGGGCGACGGUUGUCCCGGUUUAAGCGUGUAGGUGUGUGUUCCAGGUAAAUCCGGUUCACUUUAACACUGAGGCGUGACGACGAGGCACUACGGUGCUGAAGCAACAAAUGCCCUGCUUCCAGGAAAAGCCUCUAAGCAUCAGGUAACAUCAAAUCGUACCCCAAACCGACACAGGUGGUCAGGUAGAGAAUACCAAGGCGCUUGAGAGAACUCGGGUGAAGGAACUAGGCAAAAUGGUGCCGUAACUUCGGGAGAAGGCACGCUGACAUGUAGGUGAAGUGAUUUACUCAUGGAGCUGAAGUCAGUCGAAGAUACCAGCUGGCUGCAACUGUUUAUUAAAAACACAGCACUGUGCAAACACGAAAGUGGACGUAUACGGUGUGACGCCUGCCCGGUGCCGGAAGGUUAAUUGAUGGGGUCAGCGCAAGCGAAGCUCCUGAUCGAAGCCCCGGUAAACGGCGGCCGUAACUAUAACGGUCCUAAGGUAGCGAAAUUCCUUGUCGGGUAAGUUCCGACCUGCACGAAUGGCGUAAUGAUGGCCAGGCUGUCUCCACCCGAGACUCAGUGAAAUUGAACUCGCUGUGAAGAUGCAGUGUACCCGCGGCAAGACGGAAAGACCCCGUGAACCUUUACUAUAGCUUGACACUGAACAUUGAGCCUUGAUGUGUAGGAUAGGUGGGAGGCUUUGAAGUGUGGACGCCAGUCUGCAUGGAGCCGACCUUGAAAUACCACCCUUUAAUGUUUGAUGUUCUAACGUGGACCCGUGAUCCGGGUUGCGGACAGUGUCUGGUGGGUAGUUUGACUGGGGCGGUCUCCUCCUAAAGAGUAACGGAGGAGCACGAAGGUUGGCUAAUCCUGGUCGGACAUCAGGAGGUUAGUGCAAUGGCAUAAGCCAGCUUGACUGCGAGCGUGACGGCGCGAGCAGGUGCGAAAGCAGGUCAUAGUGAUCCGGUGGUUCUGAAUGGAAGGGCCAUCGCUCAACGGAUAAAAGGUACUCCGGGGAUAACAGGCUGAUACCGCCCAAGAGUUCAUAUCGACGGCGGUGUUUGGCACCUCGAUGUCGGCUCAUCACAUCCUGGGGCUGAAGUAGGUCCCAAGGGUAUGGCUGUUCGCCAUUUAAAGUGGUACGCGAGCUGGGUUUAGAACGUCGUGAGACAGUUCGGUCCCUAUCUGCCGUGGGCGCUGGAGAACUGAGGGGGGCUGCUCCUAGUACGAGAGGACCGGAGUGGACGCAUCACUGGUGUUCGGGUUGUCAUGCCAAUGGCACUGCCCGGUAGCUAAAUGCGGAAGAGAUAAGUGCUGAAAGCAUCUAAGCACGAAACUUGCCCCGAGAUGAGUUCUCCCUGAGACUUUAAGUCUCCUGAAGGAACGUUGAAGACGACGACGUUGAUAGGCCGGGUGUGUAAGCGCAGCGAUGCGUUGAGCUAACCGGUACUAAUGAACCGUGAGGCUUAACCUUACAACGCCGAAG